GGCGAACGCUGGCGGCGUGCUUAACACAUGCAAGUCGAACGGAAAGGCCCUGCUUUUGUGGGGUGCUCGAGUGGCGAACGGGUGAGUAACACGUGAGUAACCUGCCCUUGACUUUGGGAUAACUUCAGGAAACUGGGGCUAAUACCGGAUAGGAGCUCCUGCUGCAUGUUGGGGGUUGGAAAGUUUCGGCGGUUGGGGAUGGACUCGCGGCUUAUCAGCUUGUUGGUGGGGUAGUGGCUUACCAAGGCUUUGACGGGUAGCCGGCCUGAGAGGGUGACCGGCCACAUUGGGACUGAGAGACGGCGCAGACUCCUACGGGAGGCAGCAGUCGGGAAUAUUGCACAAUGGGCGGAAGCCUGAUGCAGCAACGCCGCGUGCGGGAUGCCGGCCUUCGGGUUGUAAACCGAUUUCGCCUGUGACGAAGCGUGAGUGACGGUAAUGGGUAAAGAAGCACCGGCUAACUACGUG
RNAcentral lists this ribosomal RNA (468 nucleotides) under uncultured bacterium. RNAcentral's name for it is "partial 16S ribosomal RNA". It matches the Rfam family "Bacterial small subunit ribosomal RNA", at positions 28 to 507 of the family's 1533-position model. The record is from RNAcentral.